Molecule: transfer RNA, 68 nt
Filed under: Sphaerodactylus townsendi
Lineage: Eukaryota; Metazoa; Chordata; Lepidosauria; Squamata; Sphaerodactylidae
Description: tRNA-Ala
Source: RNAcentral
UGGUAGCUCAGUGGUAGAGCUUUUGCUCUGCAUGCAGAAGGUCAAAAGUUCAAUUCUUGGUAUCUCAA